RNAcentral lists this long non-coding RNA (1506 nucleotides) under Astyanax mexicanus (Mexican tetra). Its description in RNAcentral is "lncRNA (ENSAMXG00005018906.1)". Lineage: Eukaryota; Metazoa; Chordata; Actinopteri; Characiformes; Acestrorhamphidae. The record is from RNAcentral.
CCACAAUGUGUAUCUCUGUGUCACACUGUGUGCUCUUUAUUGUGUACUCUUUAGCUACAUUAGCCCGGUAGCUAAAGAAGCAUUUCUUUACACACCACAGAGCUGUUUUUACCACUUCACUUGGCAACACCAGAAAAGAGAAGUGAGAGUCUCCUGCUGUGGUUUGUGAAAGCUGCAGAUUUCUGUGCAUUUGUAGGAGAACUCAACACGAGGCAGCUGAGAUGGGCGUGGGUCACCUUCAGACCGAAUGGCUCUGGACUUCUCUGAUCGUUUCAGGUGUUCUGGCCGGGGACUGGAUGGUACAGGUUCCAGAAAGUCCAAUCUGUGCUCCCGCUGGUUCCUCUGUGACGGUGCCAUGCACUUACGACUUCCCUGAGGACUCAUCACAGGGGACGCCUCGCAAAGUGCUUUCUGAGAUGUGGUGUCGGAAUGAGAGCUUCUGCAUCACCCAAACAUACGUCUACCACAGCCGUGGGAUCUUCAUAGACCCUGCGUACCGGGGCAGGGUGCAAUACCUGGGCACAACCGGGUCCAAAAACUGCUCUUUCAGGAUAACAGACCUGAGGACCACUGAUAGUGGGGUCUACGUGUUUCGGUUUAUUACGGACCACCCCGUGGAAAAGCUGCCAGGCCAGAAGGGUAUCACCCUACAAGUGACAGGUACUGUUGAGGAGAUGUUCCAGUUACAUUGUUCAUACAGAAUUUUCUCAGUGUCACUUAAGCACCAUUAGAAAAAGAAGUUUAUUCAAGUGUGUUAUUAGUAUAAUUCUUUUUAUAAUUUUAUUUCUAAUUUUCUCAUCAAUUUACACGGCCAGUUACCGAACCCACUCAUUAGGACUCCCCCUAUCACUAGUGAUGCCCCAACACUAGGAGGGUAAAAACUAGAACAUGUCUCCUCCGAUACAUGUGAAGUCAGACUCUGCCUCUUUUUGAACUGCUGCUGAUGCAGCAUUGUCGAGUAGCAUCACAGGGCACUCGGAGGAAAGCGCAGCAACUCAGUUCUAAUACAUCACUUCACAGAUGCCUUGUGCUGAUCAACAUCACCCUUUUGGAGUGAUGAGGGAAAAGAGAGUGCCAUCUACCCACCUAGAGAGAGCAAGGCCAAUUGUGUGCUCUCUCAGGGCUCUGGUGGCCGAUGGCAAGCUGCAUGAACAGGAUUCGAACCCACAAUCUCCUGAUCAUAGUAGCAGUGCUUAGCCCGCUGGACCAUUCAAAGCCCUUAGAAUACUUCUUUUAAACUAAAAUUAGGCAAGUAUGGUUCAGAUAACUUUUUUGUACUUAUCAGUGACAUGCUAAACAUAAUGAUACUUAAGUAUACUUGGCUUAUACUGACAAGUAUACAGAAGAGUCAACAGUAAGUGUAUUUAGCAUAUACUUGUACUUAAUCUUUUGAUCUAGAUAUACUUAACAAAAGUACAAUUAAAUUUUCUUACCUUAUAUGUAAACUAUGCUUGGCUUGUAUAGUUUGAGGUGGAAUAUCUUAGAAUAAAUAGUACACGAAUGGCA